GACGAACGCUGGCGGCGUGCCUAAUACAUGCAAGUCGAGCGAUGAAGAUGGGUGCUUGCGCCAAUUUGGAGAGCAGCGAACGGGUGAGUAACGCGUGGGGAAGCUGCCUUUGAGCGGGGGACAACAUUGGGAAACGAAUGCUAAUACCGCAUAACAACUUUAAACAUAAGUUUUAAGGUUGAAAGAUGCAUUGGGAGCUCUCAAAGAUGAUCCCGGGUUGUAUUAGCUAGUUGGUGAGGUAAAGGCUCACCAAGGCCAAGAUACAUAGCCGACCCGAGAGGGUGAUCGGCCACCAUGGGACCGAGACACGGCCCAAACUCCUACGGGGGGCAGCCGUAGGGGAUCUUCGGACAUGGGCGAAAGUCUGACCGCGGACCGACGGGUGAGGGAAGGAGGGUUUCGGAUCGUAAAACUCUGUUGGUAGGGAAGAACGUUCGUGAGAGUAGAACGCCCCUCAAGUGACGGUAACUACACAGAAAGGGACGGCUAACUACGUG
RNAcentral lists this ribosomal RNA (497 nucleotides) under uncultured bacterium. RNAcentral's name for it is "partial 16S ribosomal RNA". It matches the Rfam family "Bacterial small subunit ribosomal RNA", at positions 28 to 507 of the family's 1533-position model. The record is from RNAcentral.